AAAGGAAUAGACGGGGGAGCACAACAACGGGUGGAGCCUGCGGUUUAAUUGGACUCAACGCCGGACAACUCACCGGGGACGACAGCAAUAUGUAGGCCAGGCUGAAGACCUUGCCUGAAUCGCUGAGAGGAGGUGCAUGGCCGUCGCCAGUUCGUACUGUGAAGCAUCCUGUUAAGUCAGGCAACGAGCGAGACCCGUGCCCACUGUUACCAGCAUGUCCUCCGGGACGAUGGGUACUCUGUGGGGACCGCCGAUGUUAAAUCGGAGGAAGGUGCGGGCCACGGUAGGUCAGUAUGCCCCGAAUUUCCCGGGCUACACGCGGGCUACAAUGAAUGGGACAAUGGGUCCCUACCCUGAAAAGGGCUGGUAAUCUCCCAAACCCAUCCGUAGUUCGGAUCGAGGGCUGUAACUCGCCCUCGUGAAGCUGGAAUCCGUAGUAAUCGCGUUUCAAUAUAGCGCGGUGAAUACGUCCCUGCUCCUUGCACACACCGCCCGU
Molecule: ribosomal RNA, 496 nt
Filed under: uncultured bacterium
Lineage: Bacteria
Description: bacterial SSU rRNA
Rfam family: Archaeal small subunit ribosomal RNA
Source: RNAcentral